AGCGAACGCUGGCGGCAGGCUUAACACAUGCAAGUCGAACGCCCCGCAAGGGGAGUGGCAGACGGGUGAGUAACACGUGGGAACGUACCCUUUGGUUCGGAAUAACUUGGGGAAACUCAAGCUAAUACCGGAUAAGCCCUUAUGGGGAAAGGUCUACUGCCGAAGGAUCGGCCCGCGUCUGAUUAGCUAGUUGGUGAGGUAAUGGCUCACCAAGGCGACAAUCAGUAGCUGGUCUGAGAGGGUGAUCAGCCACACUGGGAAUGAGACACGGCCGAGACUCCUACGGGAGGCAGCAGUGGGGAAUAUUGGACAAUGGGGGCAACCCUGAUCCAGCCAUGCCGCGUGAGUGAUGAAGGCCUUAGGGUUGUAAAGCUCUUUUACCCGGGACGAUAAUGACUGUACCGGGAGAAUAAGCCCCGGCUAACUUCGUGCCAGCCGCCGCGGUAA
RNAcentral lists this ribosomal RNA (447 nucleotides) under uncultured bacterium. RNAcentral describes it as "partial 16S ribosomal RNA". It matches the Rfam family "Bacterial small subunit ribosomal RNA", at positions 29 to 523 of the family's 1533-position model. The record is from RNAcentral.